Non-coding RNA from Acanthosepion pharaonis, 101 nucleotides. NCBI's taxonomy places the organism in Eukaryota, Metazoa, Mollusca, Cephalopoda, Sepiida, Sepiidae. The record is from the annotation of a GenBank genome assembly.
UAUCACGUUGAGACACCGGUUCUCGUACGAUCACGAAAGUUAAGCAAUUUCGAGCCUGGUCAGUACCCAGAUGGGUGACCACUUUCGAAAACCAGGUACUA